Molecule: transfer RNA, 82 nt
Filed under: Chloroflexota bacterium
Lineage: Bacteria; Bacillati; Chloroflexota
Also listed under: 1 other name
Description: Chloroflexi bacterium tRNA-Leu
Rfam family: tRNA
About the family: Transfer RNA (tRNA) molecules are approximately 80 nucleotides in length.
Source: RNAcentral
GCCGGAGUGGCGGAACUGGCAGACGCGCGCGACUCAAAAUCGCGUUCCUAACGGAGUGUGGGUUCGACUCCCACCCCCGGCA